UAACAGUUCGUUAGGUGAUUCUGCAGCC
RNAcentral lists this non-coding RNA (28 nucleotides) under Mus musculus (house mouse). Lineage: Eukaryota; Metazoa; Chordata; Mammalia; Rodentia; Muridae. The record is from RNAcentral.